AUUAAAUUGAAAUAGCCAGUGCUAGGGUUUUUCUAUUCAACAUAAAGCCGCCGUUACCUCUUCCAUUAUUAGGUUUACGAAAAAUUGUGUAUAUAUACGCGUGUGCGCAGAGCACAAUCUCGUGUGUUCAACGCCAAGAAAACUACUGAUUAGAGGAUUUGAGGAGAAUUAGAGAUGGCUUUAUCUUUCAUGAGGCAGACAGUAAGUUAUUUUCCGAAUCGUAAUUUAUGAAAAUUUUCAAUUUUGAAGGUAGAAAUUUGAGAGUUUUGGGAAGUGAUGAUAAUCUAUAUCUAUGUAUAUCAGAGGCUCAGCCCGUCUGUGCAUUGCUGAACAGAUAUUUUGCACGUCAGUCUGAUCCCAAACUCUCAAUAUCGAGGUGUAAAGUUUUGAUAAAUCUGGAAUGGAUUCAAUUGCACCAUGAAAUUUGGACUUAAAAUAUCGAAUUAAAUGUUUGGUAAAGCAGGAAAAAAAAAGCACUUGUUUUUAUGCAGAAUUACUCUAAACUGGCUGACGAGUGCGAAUUUUGUGGAAUUUAAGUUGCUUAUUGAACUUAACUUUGGAUUAACAUGGUGGAUUCAACUAACAGUGUUGAUUCAAUUUUAGAGGUUGGAUGCAUAGAUUGCUGCAGCUGGUCGGAUUUUUGUUGUGCAUUGAGAUUCAAGUUCUGGUUAAUAAUUGUUUCCUAAGAAGAAAUAAUCACAGAACUUAAAUCUCUAUAAACGGUGACUCCUUGUAAUUUGGUGUUAUCGAAGAACUGUUUUUUGCAAAAUUGUACAAAUUAUUAUUAGAAAACAUCAAACUACAAUGUGUAAUUGGAGCCUUAACGAAUCACGUUUGUUAUAUAAUCGAAUAGAUUUUGAUAUCGCGAAUUAAAAUACAGUCCAUGUUUGAAUUUUAUUAUUUCAAAACUUAUUUUUUCAAAAAUUGCUAUUAUAAGAUUUAUAUUUUAAACAAAAUGGGGAUUAAACGAAG
Molecule: long non-coding RNA, 972 nt
Filed under: Olea europaea subsp. europaea
Lineage: Eukaryota; Viridiplantae; Streptophyta; Magnoliopsida; Lamiales; Oleaceae
Rfam family: Small nucleolar RNA Z122 (bases 266-362)
Source: RNAcentral